RNAcentral lists this small RNA (27 nucleotides) under Bombyx mori (domestic silkworm). RNAcentral describes it as "ovarian small RNA-24502". The record is from RNAcentral. Lineage: Eukaryota; Metazoa; Arthropoda; Insecta; Lepidoptera; Bombycidae.
UCAAAUGGGACGAGCAAUUUUUAGGGC